GACGAAGGGGGCAAGCGUUGUUCGGAAUUACUGGGCGUAAAGAGCGUGUAGGCGGCCACACAGGUCUGCUGUGAAAACUCGAGGCUCAACCUCGAGCUGUCGGUGGAAACCGUGUGGCUAGAGUCCGGAAGAGGAGAGUGGAAUUCCCGGUGUAGCGGUGAAAUGCGCAGAUAUCGGGAAGAACACCCGUGGCGAAGGCGGCUCUCUGGGACGGUACUGACGCUGAGACGCGAAAGCGUGGGGAGCGAACAGG
Molecule: ribosomal RNA, 253 nt
Filed under: uncultured bacterium
Lineage: Bacteria
Description: partial 16S ribosomal RNA
Rfam family: Bacterial small subunit ribosomal RNA
Source: RNAcentral